This 723-nucleotide ribosomal RNA is filed under the name Omophron limbatum. Its description in RNAcentral is "eukaryotic LSU rRNA". It matches the Rfam family "Eukaryotic large subunit ribosomal RNA", at positions 663 to 1265 of the family's 3401-position model. Lineage: Eukaryota; Metazoa; Arthropoda; Insecta; Coleoptera; Carabidae. The record is from RNAcentral.
GGACCAAGGAGUCUAGCAUGUGCGCAAGUCAUUGGGAUUUGAAAACCUAAAGGCGUAAUGAAAGUAAAUAUUUACCUUGUGUAAAUUAAGGGAGGAUAAGAUACAUUCCAUAUUAUUUUUAAAUGAUUUUUAAUUAUUUAAUAUAGUAUGUUUGUUUGUAUACUUCGCACUCCCGGGGCGUCCCACACUUAUUGCAAGGUGAGGCGCACCAAGAGCGUACACGCUGGGACCCGAAAGAUGGUGAACUAUGCCUGGUCAGGACGAAGUCAGGGGAAACCCUGAUGGAGGUCCGUAGCGAUUCUGACGUGCAAAUCGAUCGUCGGAACUGGGUAUAGGGGCGAAAGACUAAUCGAACUAUCUAGUAGCUGGUUCCCUCCGAAGUUUCCCUCAGGAUAGCUGGCGUUCGGAGGUAUAAAUGAUAUAUAUGAAAUUUAUUUUAUAUAUGUGGAUGAGUCUCAUCCGGUAAAGCGAAUGAUUAGAGGCAUUGGGGUCGAAACGGCCUCAACCUAUUCUCAAACUUUAAAUGGGUGAGAUCUCUAGCUUGCUUAAAAUAUGAAGCUAGAGGUCGGAUCAAUGAGUGCCAAGUGGGCCAUUUUUGGUAAGCAGAACUGGCGCUGUGGGAUGAACCAAACGUUGAGUUAAAGCGCCAAAAUUAACGCUUAUGGGAUACCAUGAAAGGCGUUGCUAACUUAAGACAGCAGGUCGGUGGCCAUGGAAGUCGGA